Molecule: ribosomal RNA, 428 nt
Filed under: uncultured Desulfomonile sp.
Lineage: Bacteria; Pseudomonadati; Thermodesulfobacteriota; Desulfomonilia; Desulfomonilales; Desulfomonilaceae
Description: partial 16S ribosomal RNA
Rfam family: Bacterial small subunit ribosomal RNA
Source: RNAcentral
UGAGGAAUAUUGCGCAAUGGGGGAAACCCUGACGCAGCAACGCCGCGUGGGUGAAGAAGGCCUUCGGGUUGUAAAGCCCUGUCAGGUGGGAAGAAACCUCAAUAGGUGAAUAGCCUAUUGAUCUGACGGUACCACCAAAGGAAGCACCGGCUAACUCCGUGCCAGCAGCCGCGGUAAGACGGAGGGUGCAAGCGUUGUUCGGAAUUACUGGGCGUAAAGAGCGUGUAGGCGGUCUGAUAAGUCGAGUGUGAAAGCCCGAGGCUCAACUUCGGAAGUGCACUCGAAACUGUCAGGCUUGAGUACGGGAGAGGGAAGUGGAAUUCCUGGUGUAGAGGUGAAAUUCGUAGAUAUCAGGAGGAACACCGGUGGCGAAGGCGGCUUCCUGGACCGAUACUGACGCUGAGACGCGAAAGCGUGGGGAGCAAACA